Molecule: ribosomal RNA, 253 nt
Filed under: uncultured bacterium
Lineage: Bacteria
Description: partial 16S ribosomal RNA
Rfam family: Bacterial small subunit ribosomal RNA
Source: RNAcentral
UACGAAGGGGGCUAGCGUUGCUCGGAAUCACUGGGCGUAAAGCGCACGUAGGCGGCUUUCUAAGUCAGGGGUGAAAUCCUGGAGCUCAACUCCAGAACUGCCUUUGAUACUGGAGAGCUUGAGUCCGGAAGAGGUGAGUGGAACUCCGAGUGUAGAGGUGAAAUUCGUAGAUAUUCGGAAGAACACCAGUGGCGAAGGCGGCUCACUGGCCCGGUACUGACGCUGAGGCACGAAAGCGUGGGGAGCAAACAGG